Lynx canadensis (Canada lynx) is the source of this 1138-nucleotide long non-coding RNA. RefSeq lists it as uncharacterized. The transcript has 2 exons. NCBI's taxonomy places the organism in Eukaryota, Metazoa, Chordata, Mammalia, Carnivora, Felidae. The record is from RefSeq and is a predicted model, not a curated record.
GUGUUACAUGUCUCUAUGCCUUUAUUUCUCUUCUGAUCUCAACUAACUGCUGUUCAUUUCUGACAUUUCCAGGCUGUGCUGGCUCCUCAGAGUCCUCAUGCGUUUAAAAGGCCAACAGCUUUUGCUUUUCCUGUUGCAUUCCGCUUACGGGUUGGAUGAAGGAGAAACACAAGUAAAUAAUGGAAGAAAUCUGUAUAUUCUGAAACUCCUGAAAUAAUAAAAACAAAACCAAGACCUCUCUGGGGGUAUAAAAACAGCGAAUAGGACUGAUGAGAGCAAACGGCUGGAGGUGAUCAGGAUCGCGGAAACCAACCCAUCAACUCUCCUCCGUACCUGCUGCGUGAAACUAACCGUGCUGUUAUUAAAGUGAGUCGCCGUUUCUACCCGGGCCUAGUGCUCUAUCCUUUUCUCACGCAAUAAUUUUGCCAGUAGGAACGGAUGUUUAAAAAAUAUGGAAGAACACAGGAAAACUGCACAAGGCGAUUUACCUCUAAUAGGUAGAUACGUUAACACACAGAUGAGACGUGAAUUUUCUCCAAUUUGGAAACAAGCAAAUUUUGCCUUCUUUGCGAUUGCCGUUCAAACAUUCCACUCAUGCCGUCACGAGUCCCAUCCGUGCCUGCUCAGUCAUUUCCACUGCAGGGACCACCUCCCCACCCCGCACAUCACAGUCCAACAGGACAAAGUCAAGCACCUGAUCUGAAUGCACCGCAUUUCCCAUUUCCUGAUUGUAUAUUUAAUAAUCUAGGAAGAUUUUCGGAGUACUUUCAGCAUUCACAGAGCCACAUACAGUGGUUAACAAACAGACAGGCUUUGAUGCCAAAUCAGGUCGGGAGGUGACCCUGGGCAAGCGACCCGACUUCAGGGUUUCUCAUCUGUGAAGCGGGGGCUCUGACCCUCGUAGGCUGCUGUGAAAAACCAGUGACGUCAAAUACUCAGAACAGGCCUGUCAUCACGGUAAGCACCAGAUAAAAGUCAUCAGUGGUGACUUCAUGUUCAGGGUUCCUCCUAAUCUGUGAUGUCCUCUUCUCUUACCCAAAGAUCCUACUCCAUACACUCGUGCUGGUUUCAGCUCCCUCUCGGCUCGGGCGUAUUUUGCUGCUGCCACCAUUUUCAUAGACUUGGUAAUUUUCUGGAU